UGCGUAGGUGGCCGAUUAAGUCAGUGGUGAAAGCCUACAGCUCAACUGUAGAGGUGCCAUUGAUACUGGUCGGCUUGAGUAUGGACGAGGUAGGCGGAAUUUGUGGUGUAGCGGUGAAAUGCAUAGAUACCACAAAGAACACCAAUAGCGAAGGCAGCUUACUGAACCAUAACUGACACUGAGGCACGAAAGCGUGGGGAGCGAACAGGAUUAGAUACCCUGGUAGUCC
RNAcentral lists this ribosomal RNA (229 nucleotides) under uncultured bacterium. RNAcentral's name for it is "partial 16S ribosomal RNA". It matches the Rfam family "Bacterial small subunit ribosomal RNA", at positions 568 to 796 of the family's 1533-position model. The record is from RNAcentral.